Molecule: long non-coding RNA, 1268 nt
Organism: Homo sapiens (human)
Lineage: Eukaryota; Metazoa; Chordata; Mammalia; Primates; Hominidae
Product: long intergenic non-protein coding RNA 1341
Source: Ensembl
AUACCAUGUCACAGGAGACCCUCAGACCGCAGCCUUCCAGAAGCCUCCAUCUACACACCAUGUCACAAGAGACCCUCAGACUACAGCCUUCCAGAAGCCUCCAUCUACAUACCAUGUCACAGGAGACUCUCAGGCUGCAGCCUCCCAGAAGCCUCCUGAGGAAAGCAGGGCUUCAUCUGAAGACAGAGACGGGGUUUCACCAUGUUGCCCAAGCUGGUCUCAAACUCCUGAGCUCAAGCCAUCCACCCACCUCGGCCUCCCCAAAUCCUGGGAUUACAGAUGCGAACUACCGUGCUGGGCCUAAUCUUACUGUUUUAAUGUAAAAAUGGACAGUCUUGAGGAAGACAGAUUGCAGAGAGACACAGUGUGAAAUCGCUGCUCUCAGAUCAGCACACGGGAGAGGCCAGCAGUCAGGAGGGGGCUCACCGAGUUUGUCUGCACUCGCUCCCUCCGCAGCCGCCCUCUCCAGCUGGAAGAAGUCGUAAUCGAACCUGCUCAGGUCCUCACUGCCCCACUCCGAAGGAAACCCCACGUACAGGUGAGGUCAGAGGAGUGAAGUGACUUGCCCAAGACCACACAGUGAGUCAGGAGCAGGCCUGUCCCUCCAGCAGUGGUGCCAUGUUGUCCCCAAGCCAUGGUGGCAGAGGAGCUGGUGUGAACGCCCCAUCCUGCCACGUCUGUGAUGUGGGCACCUCACAUGACUGUCCCCUCCCAGCUCUUGGGGGGGACCUAGGACAUUCUGUGAGCCUGCAGGAAAGUUUACCAAAUGCUGCAGCUUUGUCCUGGUGGUGAUGGGCACCCCGUUAACGGCAACCUUGCAUUUGCUAUGUGGAGUGACCGUCACUUUACCGUCGGCAUUUGUGAAGGAAGCGUGUUUAUCUGAAAUUCUAAGAAGAUGAGAGUCAAAGACACCCAGCAAACGGCGGUUUCCGUGAGCAGGGUUGGAGCCCAGGAAGCAAACCAGCACUGCACCCUAGAUUUCAGCCAGAGGACGAAAGCCCUGCCCUCAGCUUUCUCAGACCAGCCCUGGAGUAGGUGGCCCGGGGAGACCUGGGCAGUGUCCCUGCUUGUCCUGCAGACUGUGUGGCUCUGCAGACCUCUAGAUGGAGGAGGCACAAUUCUCUAAUGCUGGACGAGGACACUGAUCAUGGAAACUCACCCCAAACCUUGAAUCGUGAUAGCAUUUGAGGCAGCCUGACCGGUGCCACAUGAACCUGAAAGGAAUCAAGAUAUAAUUUAUUUUGAAAAUAAAUCAGACACUUUCAGAA